GACGAACGCUGGCGGCGUGCUUAACACAUGCAAGUCGAACGGAAAGGCCCUGCUUUUGUGGGGUGCUCGAGUGGCGAACGGGUGAGUAACACGUGAGUAACCUGCCCUUGACUUUGGGAUAACUUCAGGAAACUGGGGCUAAUACCGGAUAGGAGCUCCUGCUGCAUGGUGGGGGUUGGAAAGUUUCGGCGGUUGGGGAUGGACUCGCGGCUUAUCAGCUUGUUGGUGGGGUAGUGGCUUACCAAGGCUUUGACGGGUAGCCGGCCUGGGAGGGUGACCGGCCCCAUUGGGCCUGGGAUCCGCCCCGGACUCCUACGGGAGGAAGCGGUGGGGAAUUUGCACAAUGGGCGGAAGCCUGAUGCAGCAACGCCGCGUGCGGGAUGACGGCCUUCGGGUUGUAAACCGCUUUCGCCUGUGACGAAGCGUGAGUGACGGUAAUGGGUAAAGAAGCACCGGCUAACUACGUG
This 467-nucleotide ribosomal RNA is filed under the name uncultured bacterium. RNAcentral's name for it is "partial 16S ribosomal RNA". It matches the Rfam family "Bacterial small subunit ribosomal RNA", at positions 28 to 507 of the family's 1533-position model. The record is from RNAcentral.